UUAAUCUUCCUGGUCCUAAGUUUCAUAAAUUUGGCAACUGCAUUUGCAUUGUCCCUUUAUGAAUUGCUCAACUUCGUCAAAAAUGGCCAAACUGACACUCCAGAUUUCACUCUUGCAAUUAUUCUCAUCAUCAAUAUAGUAUUCUGUGUACUCUACGUGUGCUACGGUCUGCUGAGAGAGAAAAAGUGGGAAUUGUAUGUUCUCAUUCUAGCUAUCGUUGUGGUUCUGCUUUAUUGCAAUGUGGAGUACUUUAUUAACAUAACCGGACGGUCAAACCUUAAACUGGCAAGACUAAUUCUUGUUUGGCUGCUUGGAGUUCCUCACAUUAUCUUUGCUGCGAUAGUAACUCGUCACUUUCGUUAUUUAGUUUUCCAAAGUGUAGGAGCUAUUGCUGAUUUACAAGAUGUGUAUGAAGACGCAUCCAUUUUCUCCUCUUUCUUGAGGUUUGAUAUUCAGGUGACAGUAAG
Molecule: long non-coding RNA, 467 nt
Organism: Saccostrea cuccullata (small rock oyster)
Lineage: Eukaryota; Metazoa; Mollusca; Bivalvia; Ostreida; Ostreidae
Exons: 4
Source: RefSeq, a predicted model, not a curated record